GGGGAUCUCCGCAGUGGCAGACGGGUGAGUACGCGUGGGAACCUUCCCUAUGGUACGGAAUAGCUCCGGGAAACUGGAAUUAAUACCGUAUAAGCCCCUCGGGGGAAAGAUUUAUCGCCAUAGGAUGGGCCCGCGUUGGAUUAGCUUGUUGGUGAGGUAAAAGCUCACCAAGGCGACGAUCCAUAGCUGGUCUUAGAGGAUGAUCAGCCACACUGGGACUGAGACACGGCCCAGACUCCUACGGGAGGCAGCAGUGGGGAAUAUUGGACAAUGGGCGAAAGCCUGAUCCAGCCAUGCCGCGUGAGUGACGAAGGCCUUAGGGUUGUAAAGCUCUUUUGGCGGGGACGAUAAUGACGGUACCCGCAGAAUAAGCCCCGGCUAACUUCGUGCCAGCAGCCGCGGUAAUACGAAGGGGGCUAGCGUUGUUCGGAAUCACUGGGCGUAAAGCGCACGUAGGCGGACUGGUCAGUUGGGGGUGAAAUCCCGGGGCUCAACCCCGGAACUGCCUUCAAUACUGCCAGUCUUGAGUCCGAGAGAGGUGAGUGGAAUUCCUAGUGUAGAGGUGAAAUUCGUAGAUAUUAGGAAGAACACCAGUGGCGAAGGCGGCUCACUGGCUCGGUACUGACGCUGAGGUGCGAAAGCGUGGGGAG
RNAcentral lists this ribosomal RNA (650 nucleotides) under uncultured bacterium. RNAcentral's name for it is "bacterial SSU rRNA". It matches the Rfam family "Bacterial small subunit ribosomal RNA", at positions 82 to 768 of the family's 1533-position model. The record is from RNAcentral.